Long non-coding RNA from Mirounga angustirostris (Northern elephant seal), 787 nucleotides. RefSeq lists it as uncharacterized. The transcript has 4 exons. Lineage: Eukaryota; Metazoa; Chordata; Mammalia; Carnivora; Phocidae. The record is from RefSeq and is a predicted model, not a curated record.
GUUGGCCAGAGUGGCAUUGGAGACAAAGAAUGAACACAGGAGGAAAAGGAAGAGCAGACCCUGGAGGAGUCCAUCCAGGCUGCUGUAACAAAAUGUCCCAGGCUGGAUGAUUUAUAAACACAGUUCUGGAGGAUGAAGUCCAGUAUCAAGGUAUCAGCAGGGGCAGUUUUUGGUGAAAGACCUCUUCCGGGUUGCACACUGCUAAAUUCUUGCUUUGUCCUCAUAGGAGGUCCGAAAUCUUCGGGGGUGGUCAUUUAUCGCCACCUUCUGGCAGCAUGCUUCUGUCAAUUCACUCUUCUUCAUCAUAGUUCAGCAAUGGUCUCAGAGUCUGAAACUUCCUGGGAUUUCACCCAGAUUGUAUACAACUGCACUACACAGCCCUACUCUGAACCAUCCAGUGUGCCAGAGAAAACCCCAGGAAAUGCUUGAGGACUUGGCCUCUCCUCAGGAGGACAAUAGGAGACUUUGUACCACUUCACCAGCUUACUCCAAAGCCACCAGAGGCUUUUCCCUACAGAUAGAAGACCGAAGCCCUGCAUUUCCAUCUUUUCAAUAACCUGUUCAGUUGUGACUAUUAAUUUUUUUUUUUAAAUAUGUGGUGUGGUGCGCCUAGAUGGCUCAGUCAUUAAGUGUCUGCCUUCUGCUCGGGUCAUGAUCCCAGGGUCCUGGGAUGGAGCUCCGCAUUCAGUGGGAGGCCUGCUUCUCCCUCUCCCACUCCCCCACUGCUUGUGUUCCCUCUCUCACUGUGUCUCUCUUUGUCAAAUAAAUAAAUAAAAUCUUUAAAAAA